UGAUCAGUUAACAAUCCAUAUCACAAGCCAGAUGGCAGGAGAGCCAAAGUUCCUUUUAUUUUUCAUCUUACAUAUUCUUACAUAUGCAUGACAUAGUUCAUAAAUAGAAGUUUUAAAACUUAAAGCAAAAUAAAAGAUUGUGGGUAUUUUUAACACAUAAAAUCUAACUGCCACACUUAAUUAUAUUUAUCAGAUUUGAUGACAUCAUUUUCUAAAAUUGAAUUUCUAUUUAUUUGCUUUUCUUUCAGAAUAAAAAGGAAUGUCCUAAUUGUGAAAUCAGAAAUCCAUUUUGAAUUCUUCAUAAAAAUGAAGAUGCAGCUGUGUCCUUCUGGUAACAGUGCUGCCAGCACCUUCCAAAGAUGGAUGCUCAACCUGAUGACCCAUUUGUGACAAAGAGAAAUACAGCAGCUGCGCGUCUUAGAAUGCUCACGCCAGCAUGGAAACAGAGACGAGAACUGACAUAGCUGGAAUCUAAGCCAGGCUUCAAUCAGUGCCGCAGCAGACACGUGGAGAAGAAAUGAUGUGGGUAGCAAUUCAACCAAUAUGUACUGAACAUUUGCCAAGCC
This 566-nucleotide long non-coding RNA is filed under the name Microcebus murinus (gray mouse lemur). RNAcentral's name for it is "lncRNA (ENSMICG00000048544.1)". Lineage: Eukaryota; Metazoa; Chordata; Mammalia; Primates; Cheirogaleidae. The record is from RNAcentral.